UCGGGAAUUUUGUGCAAUGGGCGAAAGCCUGACACAGCAACGCCGCGUGAAGGAUGAAGUCCCUCGGGAUGUAAACUUCGUAAGAAUAGGAAGAAUAAAUGACGGUACUAUUUGUAAGGUCCGGCUAACUACGUGCCAGCAGCCGCGGUAAUACGUAGGGACCAAGCGUUGUUCGGAUUUACUGGGCGUAAAGGGUGCGUAGGCGGCAUAUCAAGUCACUUGUGAAAUCUCCGGGCUUAACUCGGAACUGCCAAGUGAUACUGAUGUGCUAGAGUGCAGAAAGGGCAACUGGAAUUCUUGGUGUAGCGGUGAAAUGCGUAGAUAUCAAGAGGAACACCUGAGGCGAAGGCGAGUUGCUAGGCUGACACUGACGCUGAGGCGCGAAAGCCAGGGGAGCAAACGGGAUUAGAUACCCAAGUAGUCCCUGAGCGGGCUGGCAAGGCGCAU
Molecule: ribosomal RNA, 447 nt
Filed under: uncultured bacterium
Lineage: Bacteria
Description: bacterial SSU rRNA
Rfam family: Bacterial small subunit ribosomal RNA
Source: RNAcentral